AUGGUGGGGGUGCUCCCGGAUUCCAGGUUCCCACAUGUCGACGGCAAGGCAACGAGGAACUCGCAAAGAACAACUAGGACACAGUGCAACCACGAUCCUAGGACACAGUGCAACUACGAUCAUCUCCUACAACACAUGCAUUCAUUCAUUGGCGUCGUCUCGGUGGUUCUUCGUGAAAACAACAUCACUAGAUGGAUGCAAGGACAUGGCAGUGACGGGUUAGAGCGCUUGACAGGAUCCGAACCAACAGGUGCUCGAGGACAGGGGCGCUUGGGGCAGCGGCGAGAGCUUGCCGGAUGCAGGUGGAGAGGUUGA
RNAcentral lists this ribosomal RNA (315 nucleotides) under Triticum aestivum (bread wheat). RNAcentral's name for it is "partial small subunit ribosomal RNA". Lineage: Eukaryota; Viridiplantae; Streptophyta; Magnoliopsida; Poales; Poaceae. The record is from RNAcentral.